CCGUAGGGUGAACCUGCGGAAGGAUCAUUACAGAGUUCAUGCCCUUCGGGGUAGACCUCCUACCCUUGUGUAUUAUAACAAAUUGUUGCCUUGGCGGGCUGCGGCUCUGCUGCCCAGGAUUCGUCCCGGUACGCCCGCCGAAGGACCCUUAAACUCUGUUUAUUAGUGUCGUCUGAGUUUUAUAUAAUAGUUAAAACUUUCAACAACGGAUCUCUUGGUUCUGGCAUCGAUGAAGAACGCAGCGAAAUGCGAUAAGUAAUGUGAAUUGCAGAAUUCAGUGAAUCAUCGAAUCUUUGAACGCACAUUGCGCCCCUUGGUAUUCCGAAGGGCAUGCCUGUUCGAGCGUCAUUAUGACCAAUCUAGCCUGGCUAGGUAUUGGGCUUCGCGGUUCCGCGGGCCUUAAAACCAGUGGCGGUGCUCUCAGGCUCUACGCGUAGUAACUUUCUCGCUUUGGAGCCCUGGGGGAUGCUUGCCAUCAACCUCAACUUUCUUAGGUUGACCUCGGAUCAGGUAGGGAUACCCGCUGAACUUAAGCAUAUCAAUAAGCGGAGGA
This is a ribosomal RNA of 553 nucleotides. The stretch from base 195 to 348 matches the Rfam family "5.8S ribosomal RNA".